UAGGGAAUCUUCCACAAUGGGCGCAAGCCUGAUGGAGCAACACCGCGUGAGUGAGGAAGGGUUUCGGCUCGUAAAGCUCUGUUGUUAAAGAAGAACGUGGGUAAGAGUAACUGUUUACCCAGUGACGGUAUUUAACCAGAAAGCCACGGCUAACUACGUGCCAG
RNAcentral lists this ribosomal RNA (164 nucleotides) under uncultured bacterium. Its description in RNAcentral is "partial 16S ribosomal RNA". It matches the Rfam family "Bacterial small subunit ribosomal RNA", at positions 355 to 511 of the family's 1533-position model. The record is from RNAcentral.